Antechinus flavipes (yellow-footed antechinus) is the source of this 4303-nucleotide long non-coding RNA. RefSeq lists it as uncharacterized. NCBI's taxonomy places the organism in Eukaryota, Metazoa, Chordata, Mammalia, Dasyuromorphia, Dasyuridae. The record is from RefSeq and is a predicted model, not a curated record. The transcript is spliced from 2 exons.
AGAACCCAUCCUGAAAGACAUUAUCUAGCUUUGGUGGCUUAUACACAAAGCACCAGGUAGCACAACCAACUUUUGUACCUCUUUGCCCUCAGACUGCAUCCCAUUCAUUCAUACUCCUCAGCUCUUGAAAAAACCCUGCUGUUUGGUCUUCUCAGUAUGAAAUACCCCUUCCAUAAGCGACCUUCUAUUGACUUAAUUGGAAGUGUCACAAUAGGUGAAGCUCUUUGAGGAAAUGAGAAAGCCCUUUCUAUAGAGUGGUCUAGGCACAGAGUUUGUGUUCUGAUUUCCAGGGUUUGAGAAUGAAAGCUGGCCACAAAGAGAAAGUAGGUUUUUUUUCUUCAACAAACUAUGUAAAGCAUAAUGUUCUAGCUUUGGGGAUGAUAGAGUCAAGAAGGGAGAGCUUGUAUUAGUGGGAGUGGGCAGGAAUACACAGUCUUGAAGAUUUUUUUGUGAAUUUAUAAGAUGGAAGAAUAGGCGGAAGAGGUCUAGGAUGAAGGGGAGUUUUUCAUGAUAUCAUGUGGGAAUUUCAGAGGGCAAAGGACAAUGGGAACUAAGUAGGGUGAAGGCUGAGCUGGAAAAAGAUGAAAACAGAGGGAGUGUCAGCAAUGGAAGGGGGAGUUUCGUCUCAGCAGAUGGCAAUUCUGAAUCACAGGGAUUAUGGGGGAUGGAUAUCUGACUUUGCUAGUUACAAGAAGAGGGAAGUAGCAGCUGUGUAGGGCUUUCUGGGCUCCUUUGAGGACAAAGGGAACAUCUGUGCAUGGAUAGCACUAUCAGCCAUAUCUCUGCAUAUACUGGGGAACGGUGUGGGAGGCAACAGAGGAAUCUUGUUGGAUGCCUGGAUUAGGGAAUGUCUGAGGUCUGAGCCUGAAGGGGCCUAACUAAGCUGAUGCAUGAUCCAGUUUCUGCCUUAGUCAGAGGAAGUCUACUUUCCAUAAGGUAUCCAGCUCCCAUCUGGACAUGGCAAUUGAAGACCUGGUCCAGGACAAGGUCUUGGUACUGGAUUGAUAUGGAGGACUGAGGCAUUAUUGGGUUUUUAGACAGUUAAAGGAGGUGUAGACACCCACAAGAGUGGAAUCCCAACCUCCUAGCUUCAGCGAUGGUGAAGGAAGGAAAGAAUAAGAGCUUUGGUAUCAGCAAUGGCCCCUAGUGACUCGGGCAUCCAUGGAGAGCUAGUGCAUUGUUUCCUCAGAUAAUUUGGUGGCAGAAGCCAGAGAAGGUCCUAUCCAGGUAUCUAUUGCUUAAGGAGCAUCUUAGCUAAGAGUAGAGAAGUUAAUCCACAGAAGGGUACUAGGAAAUGCCAUAUUUUUAGGCAUUCAUGAAAUGUGACGGGAAUCAUAUUAAUGGAACUGUGAGGCAAAAUGGGUAAACAACAAAAUACUUGUUUGGGAACAAGGUUACUGGAGGCAUAGCCCCAUUUCUGUUGAAUCACUAAGCGGAUUUAACCAACAUAGUCUUUUAUGCCUUGUCUUUCCAUAGAAAAUUCAGCUGUCUUCAGAAGUAUGUAUGAAUUAUUUAAUAUUUUUUUCCCUUGUUGUGCUUGAACAUAUGCAUCCUUUAUUUUCCUCUGUCCCACCACUGUCUGAUGGCAGAUUUUGUAUGGCAUUCUUAGUUAGGGGCUUCGCCAUUUUUAUGAAUUUACCAGAAAGAGUUGCUGAUGAAAGAAAUAUAUUACCUAUCUCAUAAGAAAAGCAUUGUUGUUAAACCUCAAAGCAUUAUAUAAAUGUUGUUAUAAAGUUGUUAUUAUUAUUAUUACUGUCUCGUCUGAGCUCAGCAGCUUCAAAAACUAUGUCUGAAGCCAAAGAUGAGCAAAGAAUAAGGUUAAAGAUUCCUGGCCAUUUUGUUCUUUUCAUGUCGUUGACUUCUGACUUUAUGCCUGCAUCCAGAGUUAGCUUAGGGCUAUCUCCACCCUUAUUUGCUGAUUUAUGAAAAGAGCUUGUGUUUAUCUGAACAUAUUUAAAUAUUUUUUAUUAACUUCCUUGUAUUUAUUUCACAUAUACUGAUGUGUGUAUCUGAUUCAUCUGAGACAGAAUAUAACUUCCUUGAAAGAAAGGUAUUCACUUUUAUUUCUAGUGUCUAGCACAGUACUUGGCACAAGAGUAUUUCUAUUUCAACAAAGGAUAUAAUACAUCACCCGAAGGAAUGACUCUCAGCGGAAUUUCAAGAAUACUUUUGGGACCUCUUGGAUACUCUUCAAAUCAUAUCACAUUAGUCCUUACCUACUCCAUUUAUUCAAAAGGCUGACCCUGGUGUAAUGUUAAUAUAAUAAUAAAACAGUAAUUGUAUUCUAAAUGCUAAGAGGUAUUGAGAAUAUGAGAUCUUUCUUAAGUCCCAAUAGCCCUUACUUCUAAAUAAAACUUUCUAGAGUUUAUUAAUUGACUGCUAACUUUUUUUUUAGAUAGCUCAGGUAAGUUUAUUGAUCCCUACUUUCUUUUUCAGUAGGAGCAUCCUGCUCUGGUCUGUCACACAAAACAUGUCCAGGUUCUUCUGAAGACAGUCCUAUCCUAAAGAAACUGAGACCCUUGUGAUACAAAAAUAAAAACAUAUCUCUUUUAUCAUGAAAUUGCAGUUCUGUAGACAAUAUUAUGAUGGCAUCAAAAAUGACAAAUAAUUACCUCUAUUUGGAAAUAAAGUGUCUGGAAAAAACAAGUUUUCAGGAUUCUUUUUUUAUAUUUUUUGGAAUGUUCUUCACUGGAUACUGGAAAAGACUUUUAGAAGAGAUAUAAUGCAGAUGCCUAAUAUGGCAUCAAUUAGGAUUAAAUUAAGGAAUUUAAAUUAAAAUUCAAUUAAGGAAUGGGAAGAUUUAUUCCAAACUGUUCAGCAAUAGCCAUUUACCAAAAGUAUAUAGAUGUAGAUCAGAAGAUACAUAAUAUUUUUUAUCAUGCAAAAUAAAAUACUACAACCAGAUUCCUUCACAUUGUUCACUAUUUGCUCCAAUUUUAAGAGAAAAACUUUUCUUUUUUUAAAUAGUUUUUUUUUUGUAAAAGUUUUCAAUAGUAUUUUAUUUUUCAAAUACAUGUAAAGAUAGUUUUCAACAUUCAUUUUUGUAAGACUUUGGCUUCUAAAUUUUUCUCCUUCUUUUACUCCUCCUUCCCCCAAGACAGCAAGCAGUCUGAUAUAGAUUAAAUAUUGCAAUUCUUUUAAACAUAUGUCCAUAUUUCUCAUGUUGUCCAGGAAAAAUCAACCCUAAAGGGAAAAAAACCAUGAGAAAGAAAACAAGCAAAAAGUGAAAAUACUAUGUUUCAAUCUCUGGAUGCAGAUGGCUUUUUCCAUCAUAAGUCUGUUAGAAUUGUCUUGAAUCAGCACAUACCACUAUAGAAUUGAAAAAGCCAGAAAAGCCAAGUCCAUUACAGUUGAUCAUCACAUAAUCUUCCUGUUACUGUGUAUGUUUUCUUGGUUUGCUGAGUAUCAAUUCAUGUAAGUCUUUCCAGGUUUUUCUGGGAUCAGCCUGCUCAUCAUCUCUUAUAGAACAAUAAUAUUCCAUAACAUUGAUAUACCAGAAUUUAUUCAGCCAUUCUCCAACUAAUGGGCAUCCACCAAGUUUCUAGUUCCUUAACAGUACAAAAAGAGCUGCUACAAACAUUUUUGCACAUAUGGGUCCUUUUCCCUCUUUUAUGAAGGAAAAUGACUUUCUAAUGAACUUUUUAGGUUCCCAAGUCUUAGAAUUAAUUACUCUUUCAUUUCCUCACCAUUUAAGGUCAAUUAAUAAUAAUCUAUGGAUAGCUUAAACACCUGAGAAUUUAAAGUCAGUUUUCAUGCCAUUCUUUUACUACUUUCCCUCAAUGACCCACAAAAAUAGAUUGAGCAAUAUAAAUUAAUUUUAACAGUUUAAACAAAAUAACAUUGAACAGCAAAUUUGAGGCAAAAAUAUUUUAAUCAAAUAUUCUUACUGCUGUCCCCUUUCUAGUAACAUAGGUGGCAAACAAUUCACUGUACUUGCAAUUUAAUAUACUUUUUUUUUUUUUUGGCAGGUGAUGCUUCCUUUUCAAGCUAUGAAUCUGGGUUCAUUAAAAAUUGAUCCAGUCUUCCUUGCUGCCUUCCGGAGAAGGUGGUGCAAUGGGUAGAACAUUGGAUCAGGAAACAGGAAGACCAUUUCAAAUCCAGUUUCACAUACUAGCUGUAUGAGUCCUCGGUGACUGAGGACAUCACUGAACUUUUGACUGCCUCAGUUUCCUUAACUGUAAAAUGGGAAUCAUUAUAGCACCUGUCCCUGGGUUGUUGUGAUGAUCAAAUGAGAUAUUAUUUAUAAAAGUAUUUAGCACAGUACCUAGCACAGAAUAGGUGCCUAAUAAAUACUUGUUCUUUC